CCUACGGGAGGCUGCAGUGAGGAAUAUUGGACAAUGGACGCAAGUCUGACGCAGCGACGCCGCGUGAGGGAUGAAGGUCUUCGGAUCGUAAACCUCUGUCAGCAGGGAAGAACGGUCACUGUGCUAAUCAGCAGUGCAUUGACGGUACCUGCAAAGGAAGCACCGGCUAACUCCGUGCCAGCAGCCGCGGUAAUACGGAGGGUGCGAGCGUUAAUCGGAAUUACUGGGCGUAAAGCGAGCGUAGGCGGUAUGUCAAGUCUAGGGUGAAAUCCACGCGCUUAACGUGGGAACUGCCUGUGAAACUGGCAGACUGGAGUGUGUGAGAGGAUAGUGGAAUUCCAGGUGUAGGAGUGAAAUGCGUAGAUAUCUGGAGGAACAUCAGUGGCGAAGGCGACUGUCUGGCACACAACUGACGCUGAGGAGCGAAAGCGUGGGUAGCGAACAGGAUUAGAUACCCCGGUAGUC
Molecule: ribosomal RNA, 465 nt
Filed under: uncultured bacterium
Lineage: Bacteria
Description: partial 16S ribosomal RNA
Rfam family: Bacterial small subunit ribosomal RNA
Source: RNAcentral